RNAcentral lists this ribosomal RNA (225 nucleotides) under uncultured bacterium. RNAcentral describes it as "partial 16S ribosomal RNA". It matches the Rfam family "Bacterial small subunit ribosomal RNA", at positions 109 to 334 of the family's 1533-position model. The record is from RNAcentral.
CGUAACACGUGAGCAACCUGCCCCGAAGACUGGGAUAACACCGGGAAACCGGUGCUAAUACCGGAUGCCCUCUUCUGAUCGCAUGGUCGGAUGAGGAAAUGGAUUCCGCUUCGGGAUGGGCUCGCGGCCUAUCAGCUUGUUGGUGAGGUAAUGGCCCACCAAGGCGACGACGGGUAGCUGGUCUGAGAGGACGACCAGCCACACUGGGACUGAGACACGGCCCAG